GGAACCGUAGCCCAACUGGCAGGAGGCGCUUGCUUGAGGAGCAAGACAGUGCGGGUUCGAAUCCCGCCGGUUCCACCA
Molecule: transfer RNA, 78 nt
Filed under: Kiritimatiellia bacterium
Lineage: Bacteria; Pseudomonadati; Kiritimatiellota; Kiritimatiellia
Description: Kiritimatiellae bacterium (gut metagenome) tRNA-Leu
Rfam family: tRNA
About the family: Transfer RNA (tRNA) molecules are approximately 80 nucleotides in length. Their secondary structure includes four short double-helical elements and three loops (D, anti-codon, and T loops).
Source: RNAcentral